CGCUCAUUGUGGCUCCUCUGCUGCCUGCUGGCAUCUCCCUCCUGGGGCUCCGGAGCAGCUGCUCGCCCGCCUGGCCCGGCAGCCAGCACGGAGCGGGCAGCGCCGGACCCCGCUCCUCACACAGCCCCGAGCCAGGCCGGACCCCGCUCCUCACACAGCCCCGAGCCAGGCCGGACCCCGCUCCUCACACAGCCCCGAGCCAGACCGGCCCCGGCCGGGGGAAUCGCUCCGGGCAGGGCCGGACCCGGCUCCUCACACAGCCCCGAGCCCGGCCGGACCCCGCUCCUCACACAGCCCCGAGCCAGGCCGGCCCCGGCCGGGGGAAUCACUCCGGGAAGGGCCGGCAGUCCCGGGCUGUGUUGAUGCCGGCCCGUCAGCCUAAACACCAUCUGCUGAAAGGGGACCGCUGCGGAGGAGGAAGCAAGGACAAGGAUGGCUUCUCAGAGAUGCAGACAGCGUUUAUUUAUUUUUUCCUGAUUCAGAUGGAUUGUUAAGGGGGAAGAAAAAAGGCUGUAGUACAAAAUCACAUCUUUGUCAGCUACAGAUGUGCACAUGUAGUGUAUAAAGCUAAUGGGGAACAGCGACCAAACUAAUUUGAAAAUCUUCUGAGCUGCUCCUGAAAAAGAAACAACCCCAUAAGAGAGAAACCAAGCCAUGCUGCCCAGAUCUCUUUGUCACAGGUCUCAGGAGAGGGUAGAGAAAUUAAAUCAAGCUCAGUGGGCUUUUAGCUGCCUUUGGAAGAAGUUUCUGCCUGGCAUGAAAGCCACAGCCAUGGCAGGAGCUCAGAGGUGCCUUUCAGAUGAUUACAUUAGCUUUGGCUCCAGGUGUCCGAGGCAGACAGCUGACAAUUACACCUUUUGUUUUCUUUUUCAUGUUUGACAGCCAGAUGCCUUUUUGAUCUGCAGUGUGCAUGUGUGUGUACGUGUAUAUUUAUAUAUAACCUCGGAUCUUUCAUUCUGACAGAGUCACAAAUGACUUAUCUGAGUGUUUUAACAAAUAUAGGGCUGAUUUACACACUAGACCAUCAAAUGAAAGGGUUCCCUUUUGGCACUUGUCUUCCCCUGCAGUUUUACAAAACAUGUUCUUUCCAGUGACACUAAAAUUAUAAGGCUGUUGUGUGGAUUUCACUGAAUAAAAGCUGAUCCUGUAGCUGGCUUCCCAAAACAAUUGUAGAGUUAUAUGGCAAAAUUUUAUUGCUGGACUCUAGAUUUUCGAAUCCCACAAGAAGGCCUGCUGUGACUGCAUGCAUUUUGUGCAGGAUGCCUGUCUAGAAGGAAGAAAUGGCUCAGGAGCUGAGGGAUCUCAGUGAUGGAAAAGCAAAAGGCUAAGCAAAGAAAGAGCAGGAGCUCUUUCUGCAGCUCUGGAAGUCAGACAAACCGAGCAAUUCCUACUGACUGCAUGUUGUGCAGCCCUUGCCAGAAAUAUGAAGAAAAUAUUUGUAUUAGUUCAGGUAUUGCAAAUUACUUUUCCUGCCAAAGAAGAGUUAAAAAUGAAAACCCCCAAGCCCCUUUUUUCCCUGCGUGUUUACUACUGGUCACCGCAGGAGACAGAGUAUUGGCUUGGAAGGCCUCUUAUUGACCUUAUUACAUUCUUACAAAAGGCAAGUUGUUUUCUGGUUUAGAAUAGAGAUUUUCUGCUCAGAGAAAAAAAAUCUUUGCUGGUUAUUUUUGGCUCUAGAGGCAACGCCACUGCAGGAGCUCUGUCCUCACAGGUAAUGGUGCAGCCUGUGGGGGACCAUUAAGUGGUGUUCUGAGAGGCAAAGCGGGCACUUCCAGGCUGGGGUUAUGAUAGAUGAGUUUAAAACCAUGGUGCUCACCACAGCAUUCACAGCCUGCCAUCAGAACUGCUUCAGAAUAAGGCAACAAAAACAUCUGAGCAAACAGUUGUUGUGAACAAGAAAAGUCCUACUGAAGAAGGGGAUUGGGCUAAUUAAUGUGUGACCUUAUGGUUCAAGCCAAGACCAAGACUUGCUCAGACUGCAAAAUUAUGGACUGUCAUUAUGUAAAAGAAGACUUGUUCCAGCAAUUCUUUCUCUUUCCAGGGACUGUUGGCUGGAGAAGGAGAAGCCUGGAGAGUACUGAUGAAUUGGAAGGAAAAACAGUACAAUUAACAACAAAAUGUUGUCCCUGACAAUGGAAGGUAAAUCCUAGAUGCUUUAAAGGUAACAGGUGGUACAGAGCUUUUUUGGUAACAAAACUUCUGAGAAUACCUUGUCCAACAGAAGACACAAAGAGAAAGCCAGGGGCUUAUAUUUCAUAAUGCUCUGGGAGCUGAGCUACCCUCAGAGGAAAGUUAACACUGGCAGUGCUUAGGGUGCCACAUAUGCCACCUUUCUGAGUCUGCCUGUGCAGGAUGUGAUGUGGAGAGCAUGUGGGAUUUAUGAAGUCUCUGAGGAAGACCAAAGUAAUGCUCCUGCCUAACCCUAUUGUGAUUGCAAGUCUGCAUUUCCUCCAGAUCCAUGGAGCUGGCUGUGUUGGUACUUGAUAAUGCCAGAGACCCCAGCAGCUUUCUACAGUGCUGAUGCAGUGGCCUGUGCUCAGGUGUUUGUUUGGAGUGCACCCAAACUCCUAAUGAAGGGGACAAGAAGAGAAAUUGCACAGACAAGAAUUAAAUGUUCUUCCCUAAGCAGAAUACUGAAAAAAGGAUAUGUUGUGCACUUUGAAAUCACUUUUUCCUGCUAAAGGAUGAAAUGUGGGGUAGUUGCCCAGGAAAAGAAAAAAUUAUUUUAUUUUUUUGAAAGCAAAUUCAGGUCUAUUUUUUGAAGGCAAUUUGAGGUCUAUUCCUAAUCCAAGAGGACAUGAUGGAGGAGGAUCUGUUUCUGCAGGAUACCAUCCAGGCUGGGAUGAGCAUUGCUGAGCUGUAACAACAGCUGGAGUCUGCUUGGACACUGUUGUGCUCAUGACCAAAAACUCCUCUUUGAACUGGAAUGUCCAUUUUACACCUGUGAUGUGCCUGGUUAAUUGCAAUGAUAGUGCAUGACUGGGGGCAAAGGGGGAGCCCUUGGAGAAAAAGGUGAGUGCUUGGGAAAGGGGACUUGGCAGAUUUUCCUUAAUGACUCCUGUCUCUUUUGGGGAAAAUCUCUCCCACAGAAAAUAAAUUGAAAGAAGGUAAAAGUGACUGAUUUUAGAAGCUGGAGGAGUAAAAUCUGACAAGGUAAAAGUUUAAAGUGCUGUUUGGUGCAUUAAAAUGAUUGUUGCAGCUAUACUUGGAAUGAGGUGCAUAGGCUGACUUCAAAGGAAAAUGGUGCUAUAGUUAAUAUCUUCUGAGAUGCUAAGAAGAGGAGUGUCCAUCAAAGGAUAGAUAUUGGCCUCAGAGAAUGAGAGUUAGGUAUAUUAAAAUACUUCUGGGUAAUGACUUGAAUGCACAAUGUCUUAAUGAAGGAUAAAUAAAGGCCAAACUCUAAUGCCCCUUCCUAUUAAACAUGAUGCACCAGCAACAGCUGAAAAUAGAGCCCUUUGCAGGCAGGCCCUUUGAAUUUCUGCACCUUUGAAGAAAAGGCUGUACAAAGAUUGUUAAGUGCAUUGCCACUUAGCAGCUGUCCAGGAGAACCAAAACAUACCAGCACUACUAGCUAGUCUGCCAAAUCCCUCUGCAAAACAAAAUCCCAAUAAAACUCUAAAUUGCAGGAAAUCAAUAAUUGUAUCCAAUUAUGAAGGUUAAGUGAUCUGGUGCCAAUCUGAUCUCUCACACUUGAGCAGGGUAGAUACAAGUGCAGGGGGAUGCUGGUGACAAUUUUUCCUCCAGCAACAUGUGAUGAACAUAAUUCUUGUGAGUGUGACAUUUCCAUGGAAGUUGAUAAUCCCUUACCCUGUAAUUCAAAAGAAGUGGAUUUGAAUUUUAUUUUCUUUUUGGCAUCUACUCACACCUGAGUCGGUAUGAUUGCUCAAAGGUGGGAGAUUUGGAUAUGAAGCAAACAGAUUCCUCUCCUCCUGCUGGAGCCAUAAAUCAGCAUUAGCAUGUUCCUGGACUGAAGCCUGUGUCCUGCCCCCACCUUCUGCACCAGAGGAGCUGGGAAUGUCACAUCCACAGAUCCUGAACCAGAGCAAUUCUCCAAAAUCUUAUCACCCCUUGGACUUUCUCAUCCAAGCAUGCUGCCAGAAGAUGGUCACUGAAAGAGACCUAUUCUCUGCAGUUCACAGCCUGUCCUGGAGAGCAGAAACAUGUUCAGUGCUGAACACUGCAGAAGGGCAACACAUUUUCUGAGCUUGCUGGUGAGCUCAUGCAAGCAGAGCCAGUUGUGUUUGCACAUAUAUGGAUUAUUUUGCCUUAAAAAAAAAAAGGUCCUAUAACCAAAAAGCCACCCAGAAUUCUAAAGAAGCAGAAGACCAGAUUUGAUGUUUAAACCUGUAUAAGUUACUGUUAGAUUUAUAGCUAAUCAGUGCCAGGGAGUGGCACGCUUGGAGGGAGAGCCAGUGCCUGCAGCAAAAAUCUGUUUGUAGGAAGCUGUAGUGAUGCCUGUCACUGUUAAAGAAUCUGAUUUAUGGAAGAGAAUCACAAGCUUUAUGGAAGGGAAUUGUGAGACAGGACAGACAGCAUGGAGAAGAUGUAGGGGAUCUAACAAUACUCAGCAGCGCUUCUUGAAAGACAGAAAUAACAACAUGUAUCAGCAGCAGGUAAUCAGCAAAUUGCCCAAUUUGUAAGGCCCCCAUCACAUUUUUCCAUUUGCCCCUUUAUACUUUGGAGGCCUGGUGUGUCUGAAAGCCAGCACACAGCCAGCCCAGUUUCCCUUCUGACCAACACUGGAGUGAGUUUUAAUGAGAACUGGAGUGGUGGUGGUGGCAGAAACAUGUGCUGCCAGAGUGACAUUCUCUCCUGAGCCUUGCUUAUGGUAACAGGGAUGCCUGCAUCUGCUUACAUUCUUCAAUAUUUUAAACCUGACAUUCAUACCCUGUGUUUUACUACCUGCAGGUUUGGCAUAGUUAAUGUGCUUUGAAAAAAACUCAGCACUGCACAGAAACCUCUGCAACAAGUGUUGUGUAUUAACCAUGUAUAUGUGACAGAAAAAUGUGUAUCCAACUAAAGCCUCUGUUACAUAUACACACGUGCCAGCAACACCUUUAAAGACUUCAGCAUUUGGUUUUGGUGCUUAAAAUUCAACGAUGCUCAUGCUUCAAAAACUGGAAGGAUAACACGAAGACAUGAGGUGCCUCAGGGCAAUGAAAGUUACUUCUUAGAGGUAUUUGUGACACAUGAUUUAAAAUAGGAUGCUUAGCUUUUAUUACUCUAAAUCAUUUCUGUUGGCCAUAGAUAUACAGGAAUGGAGUAAAUCCAUUCCUAGUCUGUUACUUCUUCUCCUUCACUUCCAAGAAAUGCAAUUUUUGUUUUAAAAAAUGUACAUGUAAUUAAAGGACAUGUAAUUCAGCAGAAAGUCUUUAAAAUGCAUAACUGAUUAUCUACUUCCUGUAAUUGCUGGUUUGUAUAUUGAAACUUAGAUUGAGU
Cyanistes caeruleus (blue tit) is the source of this 5439-nucleotide non-coding RNA. The record is from RefSeq and is a predicted model, not a curated record. Lineage: Eukaryota; Metazoa; Chordata; Aves; Passeriformes; Paridae.